Molecule: ribosomal RNA, 468 nt
Filed under: uncultured bacterium
Lineage: Bacteria
Description: partial 16S ribosomal RNA
Rfam family: Bacterial small subunit ribosomal RNA
Source: RNAcentral
GACGAACGCUGGCGGCGCGCCUAACACAUGCAAGUCGAACGGAGUCAAGAGGAGCUUGCUUUUCUUGACUUAGUGGCGAACGGGUGAGUAACGCGUGAGUAACCUGCCCUGGAGUGGGGGACAACAGUUGGAAACGACCGCUAAUACCGCAUAAGCCCACGGAUCUGCAUGGAUCUGCGGGAAAAGGAUUUAUUCGCUCUAGGAUGGACUCGCGUCCAAUUAGCUAGUUGGUGAGGUAACGGCCCACCAAGGCGACGAUUGGUAGCCGGACUGAGAGGUUGAACGGCCACAUUGGGACUGAGACACGGCCCAGACUCCUACGGGAGGCAGCAGUGGGGGAUAUUGCACAAUGGGGGAAACCCUGAUGCAGCGACGCCGCGUGGAGGAAGAAGGUUUUCGGAUUGUAAACUCCUGUCGUUAGGGACGAUAAUGACGGUACCUAACAAGAAAGCACCAGCUAACUACGUG